RNAcentral lists this ribosomal RNA (2905 nucleotides) under Escherichia coli. RNAcentral describes it as "23S ribosomal RNA". It matches the Rfam family "Bacterial large subunit ribosomal RNA". Lineage: Bacteria; Pseudomonadati; Pseudomonadota; Gammaproteobacteria; Enterobacterales; Enterobacteriaceae. The record is from RNAcentral.
GGUUAAGCGACUAAGCGUACACGGUGGAUGCCCUGGCAGUCAGAGGCGAUGAAGGACGUGCUAAUCUGCGAUAAGCGUCGGUGAGGUGAUAUGAACCGUUAUAACCGGCGAUUUCCGAAUGGGGAAACCCAGUGUGUUUCGACACACUAUCAUUAACUGAAUCCAUAGGUUAAUGAGGCGAACCGGGGGAACUGAAACAUCUAAGUACCCCGAGGAAAAGAAAUCAACCGAGAUUCCCCCAGUAGCGGCGAGCGAACGGGGAGGAGCCCAGAGCCUGAAUCAGUGUGUGUGUUAGUGGAAGCGUCUGGAAAGGCGCGCGAUACAGGGUGACAGCCCCGUACACAAAAAUGCACAUGCUGUGAGCUCGAUGAGUAGGGCGGGACACGUGGUAUCCUGUCUGAAUAUGGGGGGACCAUCCUCCAAGGCUAAAUACUCCUGACUGACCGAUAGUGAACCAGUACCGUGAGGGAAAGGCGAAAAGAACCCCGGCGAGGGGAGUGAAAAAAGAACCUGAAACCGUGUACGUACAAGCAGUGGGAGCCUCUUAAUGGGGUGACUGCGUACCUUUUGUAUAAUGGGUCAGCGACUUAUAUUCUGUAGCAAGGUUAACCGAAUAGGGGAGCCGAAGGGAAACCGAGUCUUAACUGGGCGUUAAGUUGCAGGGUAUAGACCCGAAACCCGGUGAUCUAGCCAUGGGCAGGUUGAAGGUUGGGUAACACUAACUGGAGGACCGAACCGACUAAUGUUGAAAAAUUAGCGGAUGACUUGUGGCUGGGGGUGAAAGGCCAAUCAAACCGGGAGAUAGCUGGUUCUCCCCGAAAGCUAUUUAGGUAGCGCCUCGUGAAUUCAUCUCCGGGGGUAGAGCACUGUUUCGGCAAGGGGGUCAUCCCGACUUACCAACCCGAUGCAAACUGCGAAUACCGGAGAAUGUUAUCACGGGAGACACACGGCGGGUGCUAACGUCCGUCGUGAAGAGGGAAACAACCCAGACCGCCAGCUAAGGUCCCAAAGUCAUGGUUAAGUGGGAAACGAUGUGGGAAGGCCCAGACAGCCAGGAUGUUGGCUUAGAAGCAGCCAUCAUUUAAAGAAAGCGUAAUAGCUCACUGGUCGAGUCGGCCUGCGCGGAAGAUGUAACGGGGCUAAACCAUGCACCGAAGCUGCGGCAGCGACACUAUGUGUUGUUGGGUAGGGGAGCGUUCUGUAAGCCUGUGAAGGUGGCCUGUGAGGGUUGCUGGAGGUAUCAGAAGUGCGAAUGCUGACAUAAGUAACGAUAAAGCGGGUGAAAAGCCCGCUCGCCGGAAGACCAAGGGUUCCUGUCCAACGUUAAUCGGGGCAGGGUGAGUCGACCCCUAAGGCGAGGCCGAAAGGCGUAGUCGAUGGGAAACAGGUUAAUAUUCCUGUACUUGGUGUUACUGCGAAGGGGGGACGGAGAAGGCUAUGUUGGCCGGGCGACGGUUGUCCCGGUUUAAGCGUGUAGGCUGGUUUUCCAGGCAAAUCCGGAAAACCAAGGCUGAGGCGUGAUGACGAGGCACUACGGUGCUGAAGUGACAAAUGCCCUGCUUCCAGGAAAAGCCUCUAAGCAUCAGGUAACAUCAAAUCGUACCCCAAACCGACACAGGUGGUCAGGUAGAGAAUACCAAGGCGCUUGAGAGAACUCGGGUGAAGGAACUAGGCAAAAUGGUGCCGUAACUUCGGGAGAAGGCACGCUGAUAUGUAGGUGAAGCGACUUGCUCGUGGAGCUGAAAUCAGUCGAAGAUACCAGCUGGCUGCAACUGUUUAUUAAAAACACAGCACUGUGCAAACACGAAAGUGGACGUAUACGGUGUGACGCCUGCCCGGUGCCGGAAGGUUAAUUGAUGGGGUUAGCGGUAACGCGAAGCUCUUGAUCGAAGCCCCGGUAAACGGCGGCCGUAACUAUAACGGUCCUAAGGUAGCGAAAUUCCUUGUCGGGUAAGUUCCGACCUGCACGAAUGGCGUAAUGAUGGCCAGGCUGUCUCCACCCGAGACUCAGUGAAAUUGAACUCGCUGUGAAGAUGCAGUGUACCCGCGGCAAGACGGAAAGACCCCGUGAACCUUUACUAUAGCUUGACACUGAACAUUGAGCCUUGAUGUGUAGGAUAGGUGGGAGGCUUUGAAGUGUGGACGCCAGUCUGCAUGGAGCCGACCUUGAAAUACCACCCUUUAAUGUUUGAUGUUCUAACGUUGGCCCCUAAUCGGGGUUGCGGACAGUGUCUGGUGGGUAGUUUGACUGGGGCGGUCUCCUCCUAAAGAGUAACGGAGGAGCACGAAGGUUGGCUAAUCCUGGUCGGACAUCAGGAGGUUAGUGCAAUGGCAUAAGCCAGCUUGACUGCGAGCGUGACGGCGCGAGCAGGUGCGAAAGCAGGUCAUAGUGAUCCGGUGGUUCUGAAUGGAAGGGCCAUCGCUCAACGGAUAAAAGGUACUCCGGGGAUAACAGGCUGAUACCGCCCAAGAGUUCAUAUCGACGGCGGUGUUUGGCACCUCGAUGUCGGCUCAUCACAUCCUGGGGCUGAAGUAGGUCCCAAGGGUAUGGCUGUUCGCCAUUUAAAGUGGUACGCGAGCUGGGUUUAGAACGUCGUGAGACAGUUCGGUCCCUAUCUGCCGUGGGCGCUGGAGAACUGAGGGGGGCUGCUCCUAGUACGAGAGGACCGGAGUGGACGCAUCACUGGUGUUCGGGUUGUCAUGCCAAUGGCACUGCCCGGUAGCUAAAUGCGGAAGAGAUAAGUGCUGAAAGCAUCUAAGCACGAAACUUGCCCCGAGAUGAGUUCUCCCUGAGACUUAGAGUCUCCUGAAGGAACGUUGAAGACGACGACGUUGAUAGGCCGGGUGUGUAAGCGCAGCGAUGCGUUGAGCUAACCGGUACUAAUGAACCGUGAGGCUUAACCUU